Molecule: ribosomal RNA, 465 nt
Filed under: uncultured bacterium
Lineage: Bacteria
Description: partial 16S ribosomal RNA
Rfam family: Bacterial small subunit ribosomal RNA
Source: RNAcentral
GACGAACGCUGGCGGCGUGCUUAACACAUGCAAGUCGAACGGAAAGGCCCUGCUUGCAGGGUACUCGAGUGGCGAACGGGUGAGUAACACGUGGGUGAUCUGCCCUGCACUUCGGGAUAAGCCUGGGAAACUGGGUCUAAUACCGGAUAGGAGCCAUUUUUAGUGUGAUGGUUGGAAAGUUUUUUCGGUGUAGGAUGAGCUCGCGGCCUAGCAGCUUGUUGGUGGGGUAAUGGCCUACCAAGGCGGCGACGGGUAGCCGGCCUGAGAGGGUGGACGGCAACCUUGGGACUGAGGUACGGCCCAGACACCUACGGGAGGCAGCAGUGGGGAAUAUUGCACAAUGGGCGCAAGCCUGAUGCAGCGACGCCGCGUGGGGGAUGACGGUCUUCGGGUUGUAAACUCCUUUCGCUAGGGACGAAGCUUUUUGUGACGGUACCUAGAUAAGAAGCACCGGCUAACUACGUG